UACGUAGGGUGCAAGCGUUGUCCGGAAUUAUUGGGCGUAAAGAGCUCGUAGGCGGUCUGUCACGUCGGCUGUGAAAACCUGGGGCUCAACUCCGGGCCUGCAGCCGAUACGGGCAGACUAGAGUUCGGCAGGGGAGACUGGAAUUCCUGGUGUAGCGGUGAAAUGCGCAGAUAUCAGGAGGAACACCGGUGGCGAAGGCGGUCUGCUGGGCAGUCGCUGACACUGAGGCGCGACAGCGUGGGGAGCAAACAGG
Molecule: ribosomal RNA, 253 nt
Filed under: uncultured bacterium
Lineage: Bacteria
Description: partial 16S ribosomal RNA
Rfam family: Bacterial small subunit ribosomal RNA
Source: RNAcentral